AUUGAACGCUGGCGGAAUGCUUUACACAUGCAAGUCGAACGGUAGAGGGGGCAACCCCUUGAGAGUGGCGAACGGGUGAGUAAUACAUCGGAACGUGCCCAGUCGUGGGGGAUAACGUAGCGAAAGCUACGCUAAUACCGCAUACGAUCUGAGGAUGAAAGCGGGGGACCUUCGGGCCUCGCGCGAUUGGAGCGGCCGAUGGCAGAUUAGGUAGUUGGUGAGGUAAAGGCUCACCAAGCCGACGAUCUGUAGCUGGUCUGAGAGGAUGAUCAGCCACACUGGGACUGAGAUACGGCCCAGACUCCUACGGGAGGCAGCAGUGGGGAAUUUUGGACAAUGGGCGCAGGCCUGAUCCAGCCAUUCCGCGGGCAGGAUGAAGGCCUUCGGGUUGUAAACUGCUUUUGUACGGAACGAAAAGGCUCUGGUUAAUACCCGGGGCUCAUGACGGUACCGUAAGAAUAAGCACCGGCUAACUACGUGCCAGCCGCCGCCGUAA
RNAcentral lists this ribosomal RNA (496 nucleotides) under uncultured bacterium. RNAcentral describes it as "partial 16S ribosomal RNA". It matches the Rfam family "Bacterial small subunit ribosomal RNA", at positions 30 to 523 of the family's 1533-position model. The record is from RNAcentral.